Molecule: ribosomal RNA, 722 nt
Filed under: uncultured Bacilli bacterium
Lineage: Bacteria; Bacillati; Bacillota; Bacilli
Description: bacterial SSU rRNA
Rfam family: Bacterial small subunit ribosomal RNA
Source: RNAcentral
UACAUGCAAGUCGAACGAAGUUCUGAUUAUUGAAAGGUGCUUGCAUCUUGAUUUAAUUUAGAACGAGUGGCGGACGGGUGAGUAACACGUGGGUAACCUGCCCUUAAGUGGGGGAUAACAUUUGGAAACAGAUGCUAAUACCGCAUAAAUCCAAGAACCGCAUGGUUCUUGGCUGAAAGAUGGCGUAAGCUAUCGCUUUUGGAUGGACCCGCGGCGUAUUAGCUAGUUGGUGAGGUAACGGCUCACCAAGGCAAUGAUACGUAGCCGAACUGAGAGGUUGAUCGGCCACAUUGGGACUGAGACACGGCCCAAACUCCUACGGGGGGCAGCAGUAGGGAAUCUUCCACAAUGGACGCAAGUCUGAUGGAGCAACGCCGCGUGAGUGAAGAAGGCUUUCGGGUCGUAAAACUCUGUUGUUGGAGAAGAAUGGUCGGCAGAGUAACUGUUGUCGGCGUGACGGUAUCCAACCAGAAAGCCACGGCUAACUACGUGCCAGCAGCCGCGGUAAUACGUAGGUGGCAAGCGUUAUCCGGAUUUAUUGGGCGUAAAGCGAGCGCAGGCGGUUUUUUAAGUCUGAUGUGAAAGCCCUCGGCUUAACCGAGGAAGUGCAUCGGAAACUGGGAAACUUGAGUGCAGAAGAGGACAGUGGAACUCCAUGUGUAGCGGUGAAAUGCGUAGAUAUAUGGAAGAACACCAGUGGCGAAGGCGGCUGUCUGGUCUGU